AGAGUUUGAUCCUGGCUCAGAGCGAACGCUGGCGGCAGGCCUAACACAUGCAAGUCGAGCGCCGUAGCAAUACGGAGCGGCAGACGGGAGAGUAACACGUGGGAACGUGCCCUUCAGUUCGGAACAACCCAGGGAAACUUGGGCUAAUACCGGAUACGUCCGUAAGGAGAAAGAUUUAUCGCUGAAGGAUCGGCCCGCGUCUGAUUAGCUAGUUGGUGGGGUAACGGCUCACCAGGGCGACGAUCAGUAGCUGGUCUGAGAGGAUGAUCAGCCUCACUGGGACUGAGACACGGCCCAGACUCCUACGGGAGGCAGCAGUGGGGAAUAUUGGACAAUGGGCGCAAGCCUGAUCCAGCCAUGCCGCGUGGAUGAUGAAGGCCCUAGGGUUGUAAAGUCCUUUCAGCGGGGAAGAUAAUGACGGUACCCGCAGAAGAAGCCCCGGCUAACUUCGUGCCAGCAGCCGCGGUAAUACGAAGGGGGCUAGCGUUGCUCGGAAUCACUGGGCGUAAAGCGCACGUAGGCGGCUUUUUAAGUCAGGGGUGAAAUCCUGGAGCUCAACUCCAGAACUGCCUUUGAUACUGAGAAGCUUGAGUCCGGGAGAGGUGAGUGGAACUGCGAGUGUAGAGGUGAAAUUCGUAGAUAUUCGCAAGAACACCAGUGGCGAAGGCGGCUCACUGGCCCGGUACUGACGCUGAGAUGCGAAAGCGUGGGGAGCAAACAGGAUUAGAUACCCUAGUAGUCC
This 742-nucleotide ribosomal RNA is filed under the name uncultured bacterium. RNAcentral's name for it is "bacterial SSU rRNA". It matches the Rfam family "Bacterial small subunit ribosomal RNA", at positions 8 to 796 of the family's 1533-position model. The record is from RNAcentral.